CCUACGGGACGCAGCAGUGGGGAAUUUUGCGCAAUGCUCGUAAGAGUGACGCAGCGACGCCGCGUGAAUGACGAAGGCCUUCGGGUCGUAAAGUUCUUUCGACAGGGAAGAAAAUGCCUAUAAGUAACUGUGUAUGUAUUGACGGUACCUGUAUAAGCAGCCCCGGCUAACUCCGUGCCAGCAGCCGCGGUAAUACGGAGGGGGCGAGCGUUGUUCGGAGUGACUGGGCGUAAAGAGCACGUAGGCGGUGUUGUAAGUCAUUAGUCAAAGACUAGAGCUCAACUUUAGUAAGGCUAGUGAUACUA
RNAcentral lists this ribosomal RNA (305 nucleotides) under uncultured bacterium. Its description in RNAcentral is "bacterial SSU rRNA". It matches the Rfam family "Bacterial small subunit ribosomal RNA", at positions 338 to 635 of the family's 1533-position model. The record is from RNAcentral.